UAAGUGUUUAAGGGCGCAUGGUGGAUGCCUUGGCACUGGGAGCCGAUGAAGGACGUGGGAGGCUGGCAAUAUGCCCUCGGGGAGCUGGCAACCGAACGUGGAUUCCGAGGAUUUCCGAAUGGGGAAACCC
This 130-nucleotide ribosomal RNA is filed under the name Mycobacterium sp. Myc399. Its description in RNAcentral is "partial 23S ribosomal RNA". It matches the Rfam family "Bacterial large subunit ribosomal RNA", at positions 1 to 129 of the family's 2925-position model. The record is from RNAcentral. Lineage: Bacteria; Bacillati; Actinomycetota; Actinomycetes; Mycobacteriales; Mycobacteriaceae.